This 301-nucleotide ribosomal RNA is filed under the name uncultured bacterium. Its description in RNAcentral is "partial 16S ribosomal RNA". It matches the Rfam family "Bacterial small subunit ribosomal RNA", at positions 509 to 807 of the family's 1533-position model. The record is from RNAcentral.
CAGUCGCCACGGUAAUACGGAGGGAGCUAGCGUUGUUCGGAAUUACUGGGCGUAAAGCGCGCGUAGGCGGUUACUCAAGUCAGAGGUGAAAGCCCGGGGCUCAACCCCGGAACUGCCUUUGAAACUAGGUGACUAGAAUCUUGGAGAGGUCAGUGGAAUUCCGAGUGUAGAGGUGAAAUUCGUAGAUAUUCGGAAGAACACCAGUGGCGAAGGCGACUGACUGGACAAGUAUUGACGCUGAGGUGGGAAAGCGUGGGGAGCAAACAGGAUUAGAUACCCGCGUAGUCCCUGUCUCUUAUAC